Molecule: non-coding RNA, 3707 nt
Organism: Misgurnus anguillicaudatus (oriental weatherfish)
Lineage: Eukaryota; Metazoa; Chordata; Actinopteri; Cypriniformes; Cobitidae
Source: RefSeq, a predicted model, not a curated record
ACAUCCUCACUCCCAACUCGUAACAUAUUGACGCUUGGUCAGGAGCCCUUUGCGUCAAUACUAUACGCACAGGGUACCCCUUUAGCGUUAUUUUUUGACGUCCUGGGUUUCCCAAUGACUUCUAUAGGAACGCCUGCGGCGUUGACAUUUGACGUGUUAAGCACGGGUAAAAUGAGAACAAAAAUAGGAAUAAAAUAAGCAUAAAAAUAAAGAAUUUGCUACAAUAAAUUAGUUAUGGCAGGGAUUGUCAUACUGUUUUUAAUGUGCUGCGAUUAUGUUUGGUUAUUCAAUGAUUAAUCAUUGCAAACGCAAUGCAAUGCAAUUAACAUUUUACAUUAUAUUUAUUUAAUUGUUUGUUUGUUUAUUUAUUUAUUGGUUGGUUGGUUGGUUGGUUGGUUUAUUGAUAGAUUUUUUUUUUAUUUUUUUUAUUAAUAAAUCCAACAAUUACUACCGCUGACGUCACUGUAAGGCGCGAUCCAUUGCGAUUUUACACUUGGUAAGUAGAACAGACAUCAAUAUAGACGGGAACAAUCCUUAAAUUUGCGUAGUAAUAAUCGUUCAAUCACGGUAAAAUUUUGUGUUUAGAACCUUUAGAAGUGUCUCACGGCAUUUCGUGAUUUGGUCACGAAAUUUAAUCUAUUUAUUCGUGGCAGGAACACGUUUAUUUCGUUAUUUUCGUAAUUCCAGCACGUUUUUUAAACUAAUGUAUUUCAAUUGGAUAGAUCUUUCGUGCAUAUAGCACGAUUUUUUCUGCCAGUCGGGCUGCAGUAGGGAAGCUAAACAUUUAUUCACAAGAUCUUAUCAAGACUGCAAUAUAUAAGAAUAAAUAGGAAUCGGCAACAAUUAACGAUCUAUGCCAGCGCAAGUCAAUAUUUAUCUGGUCAUUUUCAACUGGUUUUUAAUGUUAAAAGUCCCUCGCAGUCAACAGCUGUUUCCGGUGAGUUCUCAACUGCAGGAUCAAUAGCAUUCAGCAGUGAGUUUAACAACGCUCAAAUGUGGGUAAAAUAACAUUCAGAGAGGAGUUUUAUUAAAACAGCGUUCAACUGCAUGUAAGACAACCUUUUAGAGUCCUGUAAUAACUGUGACGUCAUCGAAUGAGACGAAGGUCCAUGGCUGUUUCAACUCGGAAGUUGAGAUGAAGUCAUGACAAGGCCCAUAUCUGGUAAGCAGGAAAACUUUCCAUGUCUGCUUUGCAAGCUUGUCCACCAAAAAAAGUCAGGUCACUGGAUAGCCAGUGGGGGAAAUCUGUCCUUAAAAGCAGAAAUGCUGGGCGUAUAAUUAAUUCUGCCUGUAUUGCAGUAAGUGAAAGUGUUCAUAUUUCAAAUGAAGUGCGCAUGUUUUUCACAUAAUAUAAGACUAGCACUAGGGAUGCACCGAUACCACUUUUUAGGAAUAUGAGUAUGAGUAUUCGCAUUUUAGUACUUGCUGAUACCGAUACCGAGUACUUAAUAAUAAUAAUUAAAAAAAACAUGAUUUAAAUUUACAGGUAACAGCUUUAGUCAUAUACUUUAACAAAAAAACAAGGGACUAGUUUUACAGUUUGUUGUAAACUCUGCCUCUUUGGACAACACAAGAGGCAUUAACCCCUUACACGCUGCUCAAACAUAGACAUUUCUCAGACCGUGGUAUCGAUCCAUGGUAUGGGGGGACUUUUAACGAGUACUUUAGAAAAUGUGGUAUUGAAGCCGAUACCAGUAUUGGUAUCGGUGCAUCCCUAACCAAUAUGGUCUGGCUUUUACAAACAUAGGCUUAUUUCAUACAUGGAAGAAUCCAUAUUUAGCUAAAUUGUGUUGAAGAGUAUCAAUAAGUUGUGUUCGCUGUCAAGUAUUAAGAAAGUUAUAAUGUCAAUGGGAGAAUGAGUCUGGAAUUAACCAUUGAUUGUAUCCACCUUAUUUUUGAUGUAAAUGUUUGUGCCGCCAUCUUUAUGGUAUCGUAUUGCAAGGGACACGAGUGUGCUGUUUUGACUGUCUUUUUAAUGUUUAUUAUGAAAUUCAGGAAGACCGGUAUAAUUUUUACAGUUAGGGGUUGCCAUAAUAGCUGAUACAAACACAGUAAAUCUCUACAAAACAUAAUAUGUUGUGUAUGUAUGUGGCACACGUGCACUCAUGAUCUUUAUCCACACAUCCAUCCAGUAAAACCUUUCAUAGUGCUAGUGAACAAUAAACACAAUAAUUGUUCAAAAACAACUUCGAAAAUAAGGUUACAGUUCAAAAGUCAUAUGUUUUAUAAAAGAAUCUUUUAUGGUUACAGCUCAUUUACUUUUUCAUUUCAGGUGCGGAAACUUGAGGCUGUCGGAUACAAGUCAAUUGUAUUUACUGGGAAACGGGAUAAAAAGGACCUGCCGGAGAGCCUCGCCGUGGAGCUGCCGGAGAGCAUCGUCAUGGAACGGCCGGAGAAUCUCAACAAGGAGUCUGAGGCUGUAUUUGCAUUAAAUCUUGUUCCUCUGUCCUCUAGACUCUCUCCAACCUCUCUUGCUCCUAUUACUUUUACAACUAUUUUCCUCCACUUUCUUUCCCACCUCCUCUGACAUGCUCACUAUCACGUCUUUGCCUUUUCAAACUAUACCAUGGCUUCAAACUAUACCAUAAAGGGUUCCCCAAAUCUAACCCUGGAGGGCCGGAGCACUGCAGAGUUUAGCUCCAACCCUGAUCAAACACACCUGAUCAAGGUCUUCAUGAUCACUAGAAAAUCACAGGUUGUCGAUAAAAUAACUGGGGAAUUGAUAAAUAAGGGGAAAGCUGAAUUGGAAGUUCACUGGUGACCGUGCUCUGUGUGGUAAGUUAUGUUUUAUUAUCUUGUUACGUUUAUUCCAUUGCAAUGCAGAUUAGUGUGGAAUGUGGAAUGCUUGAAAGACUAUUCCAGAAUUUUGUAGAUAAAUGAGAGAUUGAUCUACCUUAUAUCUAUUUAGAAUAUUCUUUUAACAUCUUGGAAUUUGUGAUUGAAGUGGAUACACUCAGGGUUCUCACGGUUCAUGGAAUUUCUGGAAUAUUAUGGAAUUUUAUAGGUCUUUUACAGACAUUGAAAGUCAGUCAUGGAAUAUCAGAGAUUUUUGUUUGUUGCUUUAAAUUUCAGUUUCCAUUCAUGAAAAUGUACUUCGCUUGUUAACUUGUGACGUAAGGAAUAACAUUUUUCAGGUCCAAGCCUCAGCUGACUACAAUUUAUUCUGAUCAUACAUUUUGUUAUUUAUUAACCUAGCAGGACAUCCACCCAAUGCAUUACAAUAGUAGGAGUGAUUAAUAGGAUCAAAAUGCAGACACUAUCCCGAACUGCCAGAUCUGGAACACAUGAAAACAUGCAGUAAUUGUUUAACUUACUCCACUUAUAUAAAAUAGCUUAGUUACCUUAACAAAUAGGAUAAUAUCCUUAACUCACUAAUGACAACUUAAUAAUUCAGUUAUCAACCACAUUUUUGGAGUCAUCACUACAUUUGGAGGUGCAUCCCAGCAAGACCCACAUAUGUUUUGUUUUGGUGCUGGUUUGCUGGUGACCACCAGCAUAGACCAGCAUGGAAAUGAUGCUUGUCUAUGCUGUUUUUUUUUUUCAGCAGUGAUGGCUUUCAAUAUAAAAGAACUGUAUGGAUAUUUUAAUUAAAAGUAACUACUACUUUAACAACAGACACCAGAAAAUGUGGAGAAAAAUCUGCCAGUUAAGUACAAGUACCUCACAUUUGUACUAUGUGUUCUUAUGACAUUAUCUGCACUUUGAUA